This 253-nucleotide ribosomal RNA is filed under the name uncultured bacterium. RNAcentral's name for it is "partial 16S ribosomal RNA". It matches the Rfam family "Bacterial small subunit ribosomal RNA", at positions 524 to 776 of the family's 1533-position model. The record is from RNAcentral.
UACAGAGGGUGCGAGCGUUAAUCGGAAUUACUGGGCGUAAAGGGUGCGUAGGUGGUUAUUUAAGUCAGAUGUGAAAUCCCUAGGCUCAACCUAGGAAUUGCGUUUGAGACUGGAUAGCUAGAGUGCAGUAGAGGGAAGUGGAAUUUCCGGUGUAGCGGUGAAAUGCGUAGAUAUCGGAAGGAACAUCAGUGGCGAAGGCGGGUUGCUGGGCUGACACUGACGCUGAGGCGCGAAAGCCAGGGGAGCGAACGGG